AACAACUAAGACAUCGCCAAAGGCAGAGUUUGACAACUUUUGUUUUAUUAUUACUAAGAAAUGGCAGAUGCAUCAAUGGAUGAACAAGAAACUCUGCCAUCCGAUGAAUAUCCUCCUGUUUUUGAGGAAGAAUGUUCUUCGGUAGCUAGUCAGGAUCGGCCAGUGCGAUCACGUCUUCAAGAAUCCAUGGACAGUGGCUACGAGGCUUCACCGGCCAGUAAUAGCUGUCAGGAAAUAUUCAAUUUCACAAUGGAUGAUUCUACAGAGGCGUAUCUUCCUGAUAACCGUCCGUGUCAGGCUGUUGUGGGUGACCAGUGGUCAGAUAUUGGUAACCAUGGAGACUCUAUUUCCCAUGAACUUGGUCUUUGUGGACAAGAUAGCCAAACUUGUGUUUGUGGUUAUGGGAAAGAUCAAACUAAUUUUUCCUUGUUUUCCUGUAGUUCCCAUGUUAUCAGCAGAGAGAACACUGAGGACCAGGAGUCUCCUAAUUCCUUAAGUCAUUCUGUUCCGAUCGUUGUGCGUCGAAAUACUUCUGGAAGUGAUCCAACCAGGGACAUUCUCUGGUCAUCUGAAAUAGUCAUACGACCUGGUUCCUAUCCACGUGAUCGUCUUCAGUUACUUCCUGAUUUUGGUCCGCCUGUAUCAUCUCCUCGUCUCCUUCAGUCCGAGAAUCACCAAACCCAUUUCGUCCACAAUCGAUAUGAUUGGACUGUCGGUGAAGGUCCGAAUCCUCAAAGUGGAAACCAAACUAUUUCGGUUGCAACUCAAACAAAUUUUGAGAUUCUACCUUAUGAUGAUCACUUAUUUGGAUCUGCUGGAACUUCGAAUGAUGAUCCAGUUUCUCCAAAUCAAGAUAGUCAUUCGUCACUAUUGCCUCACAGUACCUCCUCUAACCGACCUCUCCCAGAUGUAGUUCAGACACCAUCAUCUCGUUUUGCGGUACGUCACCGGACCCACUCUGUAAACUUACCUUUAAACCAGUGGAUACAGGAAACGGGAUUAGUACUGCGGGAAAUUAGCACAGAUUUUGAACAAAACUUGCACCAGUUUGAUCUCUUCUGCCACCACCUUCUACGAUGUGACUUCUCUGUGUGAUGGUUUAGUUAGAGAACGUCUUUAGGUACAGAAACAUCGGAUAUGAGAUGACAGCUAGAGGCUUCCUAAUAUCAUACGGAAGUGUCUGAGAGAGGUGGAAUGAUUCGCUAUUGGUUAAACCGUAUCGUCUCUUGGUUACUAAGCAACCAAGGAUCACAUGCAGUUAGACGUCGACGUCGGUAUUAUUCCACCGGUGAC
Molecule: unclassified non-coding RNA, 1293 nt
Filed under: Limulus polyphemus (Atlantic horseshoe crab)
Lineage: Eukaryota; Metazoa; Arthropoda; Merostomata; Xiphosura; Limulidae
Description: uncharacterized LOC111086764, transcript variant X3
Source: RNAcentral